This 503-nucleotide ribosomal RNA is filed under the name uncultured Proteiniphilum sp. Its description in RNAcentral is "bacterial SSU rRNA". It matches the Rfam family "Bacterial small subunit ribosomal RNA", at positions 903 to 1382 of the family's 1533-position model. The record is from RNAcentral. Lineage: Bacteria; Pseudomonadati; Bacteroidota; Bacteroidia; Bacteroidales; Dysgonomonadaceae.
CGCCUUGCCAGCCGCUCAGAACUUAAAGGAAGUUGACGGGGGCCCGCACAAGCGGAGGAACAUGUGGUUUAAUUCGAUGAUACGCGAGGAACCUUACCGGGCUUGAAAUGCAUCUGACCGGCCUUGAAAGAGGUUUUCCCUUCGGGGCAGAUGUGUAGGUGCUGCAUGGUUGUCGUCAGCUCGUGCCGUGAGGUGUCGGCUUAAGUGCCAUAACGAGCGCAACCCUCAUCAUUAGUUACCAUCAGGUAAGGCUGGGGACUCUAAUGAGACUGCCAUCGUAAGAUGUGAGGAAGGUGGGGAUGACGUCAAAUCAGCACGGCCCUUACGUCCGGGGCGACACACGUGUUACAAUGGGUGGUACAAAGGGCAGCUACCUGGCGACAGGAUGCUAAUCUCCAAAACCACUCUCAGUUCGGAUCGGAGUCUGCAACUCGACUUCAUGAAGCUGGAAUCGCUAGUAAUCGUGGAUCAGCCAAGCCGCGGUGAAUACGUUCCCGGGCCUU